This 435-nucleotide RNase P RNA is filed under the name Deltaproteobacteria bacterium. Its description in RNAcentral is "RNase P RNA component class A". It matches the Rfam family "Bacterial RNase P class A". Rfam says of the family: Ribonuclease P (RNase P) is a ubiquitous endoribonuclease, found in archaea, bacteria and eukarya as well as chloroplasts and mitochondria. Its best characterised activity is the generation of mature 5'-ends of tRNAs by cleaving the 5'-leader elements of precursor-tRNAs. The record is from RNAcentral. Lineage: Bacteria; Pseudomonadati; Myxococcota; Myxococcia.
GGAGGAUGCAGGGCGGCCGCUGACGGCUUUAAAACCGUUGGAGGAAAGUCCGGACACCACAGGGCAGGGAGGCCGCUAACAGCGGCCGGGGGCGACCCCAGGGACAGGGCCACAGAAAACGAGACCGCCCAGCGCCACUUUCCGACACCAAGAUUUUCGCAGACGCGAGCCUUUGUGUUGGGAAGUGGCGCUGGGCAAGGGUGAAAUGGCGGGGUAAGAGCCCACCAGGGCGCCGGGUGACCGGCGCUGCUAGGCAACCCCCUCCCGGUGCAAGGCCAAAUAGGCGCCGAUUCAAGGACGGCCCGUCCUUACUUCCUCCUCGCGGAGGGAUGUCGGCGCGGGUUGGCUGCUCGAGGCCGGCGGCAACGCCGGUCCCAGAUGAAUGGCCGUUGCCCCUCACGGGGAACAGAAUCCGGCUUACGGCAUCCUCCGGCG